RNAcentral lists this unclassified non-coding RNA (348 nucleotides) under soil metagenome. Its description in RNAcentral is "partial contains 5.8S ribosomal RNA, internal transcribed spacer 2, and large subunit ribosomal RNA". The stretch from base 1 to 120 matches the Rfam family "5.8S ribosomal RNA", at positions 35 to 154 of the family's 154-position model. The record is from RNAcentral.
GAUGAAGAACGUAGCGAAAUGCGAUAAGUAAUGUGAAUUGCAGAAUUCAGUGAAUCAUCGAAUCUUUGAACGCACAAUGCGCCCGCCAGUAUUCUGGCGGGCAUGCCUGUCCGAGCGUCAUUUCAACCCUCGAACCCCUCCGGGGGGUCGGCGUUGGGGAUCGGCACUUACCUGCCGGCCCCGAAAUACAGUGGCGGUCUCGCCGCAGCCUCUCCUGCGCAGUAGUUUGCACACUCGCACCGGGAGCGCGGCGCGUCCACGGCCGUAAAACAACCCAAACUUCUGAAAUGUUGACCUCGGAUCAGGUAGGAAUACCCGCUGAACUUAAGCAUAUCAAUAAGCGGAGGA